Molecule: ribosomal RNA, 431 nt
Filed under: uncultured bacterium
Lineage: Bacteria
Description: bacterial SSU rRNA
Rfam family: Bacterial small subunit ribosomal RNA
Source: RNAcentral
ACGAACGCUGGCGGCAUGCCUAAUACAUGCAAGUCGAACGAACACUUCGGUGUUAGUGGCGCACGGGUGCGUAACGCGUGGGAAUCUGCCCUUGGGUUCGGAAUAACAGUUAGAAAUGACUGCUAAUACCGGAUGAUGACGUAAGUCCAAAGAUUUAUCGCCCAAGGAUGAGCCCGCGUAGGAUUAGCUUGUUGGUGAGGUAAAAGCUCACCAAGGCGACGAUCCUUAGCUGGUCUGAGAGGAUGAUCAGCCACACUGGGACUGAGACGCGGCCCAGACUCCUACGGGAGGCAGCAGUAGGGAAUAUUGGACAAUGGGCGAAAGCCUGAUCCAGCAAUGCCGCGUGAGUGAUGAAGGCCUUAGGGUUGUAAAGCUCUUUUACCCGAGAUGAUAAUGACAGUACCGGGAGAAUAAGCUCCGGCUAACUCCGU